UUAGAUCAUUGUAAUUAGGGAGGUUAGCACAUGAGCCAUUGAUCAAAUCUCAUUCCUUGAAAAUUGAUACACGCGCAUAGGAAAACAAAACAGCUGCUGAUAACAAAACACAACACACGCGUUUUCUCUUUCCCAAAACAAGCACGCCUUUCUUCUUCUUCCUCUUAUCAUCGUCACCACCGCCAACCCUCUCCGCCCCAUCCAUAGGAAACCAAGCAUCUCACCAUCUCCUCUUCACACUCCACCCAAACAGACUCCUUUGAUUCUAACCAUGAAAGAAGCAAGUAUGAGUAAUAGUGAGUGUAGCAGUAUGUUUCAAUCACAUUUAAGUAGGUUUACUUUAUAUUUAUAACUCUGUCAUGCUUCCAAAACAUUUUAAAUUUUACUUUUCAUCAUUCAAAUUGUUUGAAGUCUAUAGUCUAUCUGACAUGACAUGAGAGAUAAAUUUAUUUGUGAAAUUGUCUCCACUCUUUUUACAUUCUUCAAUGAACUCUUUAACAAGUUACUUGCCAAUUAUGUUUCAAUUUGUAGCAGAUGUUAUUGGAAGUUUAUGCGUCGUUCAAAACCACUUAUGUAAAAUACAUGGUGGUGAAUCCGUUGGUAGAUUUGAAGGGCAUAUUACUAAGGUGGGUUGCGUGGGGCUGGGAGCUUUUUCCUGCUACUGUUUUGCUGCAGAUUGAUAAGUAUCUCAUCGAGGCUUGGUGCGGAAGACUUAUUCAUGCUGUGCAUUUUUUUUGUAUAGUCUGCCUGUGGUGUGUUUAAGGGAUGGUAGUGAGGCUUUUGUAUGCUUGGCAAUGUUAGGUGGUUAGUUUAUGAUAGCUAGCUUCAAUUUGGUCAUUUGCCACUAAAACAGAUUUCAAUAUUCUCCCCUCAUGUAUCUCAAUCCUUUAUAUCUAAUCCUAGCAAACAUGCUUACCCUAAUUUCCAAACCCUUAACCUACUUUUUUGGCUCCAAACUAUCCAGACCGUUAGAUCAUUGUAAUUAGGGGAGGUUAGCACAUGAGCCAUUGAUCAAAUCUCAUUCCUUGAAAAUUGAUACACGCGCAUAGGAAAACAAAACAGCUGCUGAUAACAAAACACAACACACGCGUUUUCUCUUUCCCAAAACAAGCACGCCUUUCUUCUUCUUCCUCUUAUCAUCGUCACCACCGCCAACCCUCUCCGCCCCAUCCAUAGGAAACCAAGCAUCUCACCAUCUCCUCUUCACACUCCACCCAAACAGACUCCUUUGAUUCUAACCAUGAAAGAAGCAAGUAUGAGUAAUAGUGAGUGUAGCAGUAUGUUUCAAUCACAUUUAAAUGUUAUUGGAAGUUUAUGCGUCGUUCAAAACCACUUAUGUAAAAUACAUGGUGGUGAAUCCGUUGGUAGAUUUGAAGGGCAUAUUACUAAGGUGGGUUGCGUGGGGCUGGGAGCUUUUUCCUGCUACUGUUUUGCUGCAGAUUGAUAAGUAUCUCAUCGAGGCUUGGUGCGGAAGACUUAUUCAUGCUGUGCAUUUUUUUUGUAUAGUCUGCCUGUGGUGUGUUUAAGGGAUGGUAGUGAGGCUUUUGUAUGCUUGGCAAUGUUAGGUGGUUAGUUUAUGAUAGCUAGCUUCAAUUUGGUCAUUUGCCACUAAAACAGAUUUCAAUAUUCUCCCCUCAUGUAUCUCAAUCCUUUAUAUCUAAUCCUAGCAAACAUGCUUACCCUAAUUUCCAAACCCUUAACCUACUUUUUUGGCUCCAAACUAUCCAGACCGUUAGAUCAUUGUAAUUAGGGGAGGUUAGCACAUGAGCCAUUGAUCAAAUCUCAUUCCUUGAAAAUUGAUACACGCGCAUAGGAAAACAAAACAGCUGCUGAUAACAAAACACAACACACGCGUUUUCUCUUUCCCAAAACAAGCACGCCUUUCUUCUUCUUCCUCUUAUCAUCGUCACCACCGCCAACCCUCUCCGCCCCAUCCAUAGGAAACCAAGCAUCUCACCAUCUCCUCUUCACACUCCACCCAAACAGACUCCUUUGAUUCUAACCAUGAAAGAAGCAAGUAUGAGUAAUAGUGAGUGUAGCAGUAUGUUUCAAUCACAUUUAAGUAGGUUUACUUUAUAUUUAUAACUCUGUCAUGCUUCCAAAACAUUUUAAAUUUUACUUUUCAUCAUUCAAAUUGUUUGAAGUCUAUAGUCUAUCUGACAUGACAUGAGAGAUAAAUUUAUUUGUGAAAUUGUCUCCACUCUUUUUACAUUCUUCAAUGAACUCUUUAACAAGUUACUUGCCAAUUAUGUUUCAAUUUGUAGCAGAUGUUAUUGGAAGUUUAUGCGUCGUUCAAAACCACUUAUGUAAAAUACAUGGUGGUGAAUCCGUUGGUAGAUUUGAAGGGCAUAUUACUAAGGUGGGUUGCGUGGGGCUGGGAGCUUUUUCCUGCUACUGUUUUGCUGCAGAUUGAUAAGUAUCUCAUCGAGGCUUGGUGCGGAAGACUUAUUCAUGCUGUGCAUUUUUUUUGUAUAGUCUGCCUGUGGUGUGUUUAAGGGAUGGUAGUGAGGCUUUUGUAUGCUUGGCAAUGUUAGGUGGUUAGUUUAUGAUAGCUAGCUUCAAUUUGGUCAUUUGCCACUAAAACAGAUUUCAAUAUUCUCCCCUCAUGUAUCUCAAUCCU
Molecule: long non-coding RNA, 2620 nt
Organism: Medicago truncatula (barrel medic)
Lineage: Eukaryota; Viridiplantae; Streptophyta; Magnoliopsida; Fabales; Fabaceae
Exons: 2
Source: RefSeq, a predicted model, not a curated record